AGCGAACGCUGGCGGCAGGCUUAACACAUGCAAGUCGAACGGGCGUAGCAAUACGUCAGUGGCAGACGGGUGAGUAACGCGUGGGAACGUACCUUUUGGUUCGGAACAACCCAGGGAAACUUGGGCUAAUACCGGAUAAGCCCUUACGGGGAAAGAUUUAUCGCCGAAAGAUCGGCCCGCGUCUGAUUAGCUUGUUGGUGAGGUAACGGCUCACCAAGGCGACGAUCAGUAGCUGGUCUGAGAGGAUGAUCAGCCACAUUGGGACUGAGACACGGCCCAAACUCCUACGGGAGGCAGCAGUGGGGAAUAUUGGACAAUGGGCGGCAAGCCUGAUCCAGCCAUGCCGCGUGAGUGAUGAAGGCCCUAGGGUUGU
This 373-nucleotide ribosomal RNA is filed under the name uncultured bacterium. RNAcentral describes it as "bacterial SSU rRNA". It matches the Rfam family "Bacterial small subunit ribosomal RNA", at positions 29 to 426 of the family's 1533-position model. The record is from RNAcentral.